GGAUCCAGACUUUGAUCAUGGCUCAGGACGAACGCUGGCGGCGUGCUUAACACAUGCAAGUCGAACGAGAAGAGAUGAGAAGCUUGCUUCUUAUCGAUUCGAGUGGCAAACGGGUGAGUAACGCGUAAGCAACCUGCCCUCUAGAUGGGGACAACAGCUGGAAACGGCUGCUAAUACCGAAUACGUUCUUUCUGUCGCAUGGCAGAAGGAAGAAAGGGAGGCUCUUCGGAGCUUUCGCUGGAGGAGGGGCUUGCGUCUGAUUAGCUAGUUGGAGGGGUAACGGCCCACCAAGGCGACGAUCAGUAGCCGGUCUGAGAGGAUGAACGGCCACAUUGGACUGAGACACGGCCCAGACUCCUACGGGAGGCAGCAGUGGGGAAUCUUCCGCAAUGGACGAAAGUCUGACGGAGCAACGCCGCGUGAACGAUGACGGCCUUCGGGUUGUAAAGUUCUGUUAUACGGGACGAAUGGUACGACGGUCAAUACCCGUCGUAAGUGACGGUACCGUAAGAGAAAGCCACGGCUAACUACGUGCCAGCAGCCGCGGUAAUACGUAGGUGGCAAGCGUUGUCCGGAAUUAUUGGGCGUAAAGGGCGCGCAGGCGGCGUCGUAAGUCGGUCUUAAAAGUGCGGGGCUUAACCCCGUGAGGGGACCGAAACUGCGAUGCUAGAGUAUCGGAGAGGAAAGCGGAAUUCCUAGUGUAGCGGUGAAAUGCGUAGAUAUUAGGAGGAACACCAGUGGCGAAAGCGGCUUUCUGGACGACAACUGACGCUGAGGCGCGAAAGCCAGGGGAGCAAACGGGAUUAGAUACCCCGGUAGUCCUGGCCGUAAACGAUGGAUACUAGGUGUAGGAGGUAUCGACCCCUUCUGUGCCGGAGUUAACGCAAUAAGUAUCCCGCCUGGGGAGUACGGCCGCAAGGCUGCAACUCAAAGGAAUUGACGG
Molecule: ribosomal RNA, 943 nt
Filed under: uncultured Bacillota bacterium
Lineage: Bacteria; Bacillati; Bacillota
Description: bacterial SSU rRNA
Rfam family: Bacterial small subunit ribosomal RNA
Source: RNAcentral